RNAcentral lists this ribosomal RNA (253 nucleotides) under uncultured bacterium. RNAcentral describes it as "partial 16S ribosomal RNA". It matches the Rfam family "Bacterial small subunit ribosomal RNA", at positions 524 to 776 of the family's 1533-position model. The record is from RNAcentral.
UACGUAGGGUGCAAGCGUUAAUCGGAAUUACUGGGCGUAAAGCGUGUGUAGGCGGCUAUGUAAGUCGGAUGUGAAAGCCCUGGGCUCAACCCAGGAAGUGCACUCGAUACUGCGUAGCUUGAGUACCGGAGAGGUUGGUGGAAUUCUCGGUGUAGAGGUGAAAUUCGUAGAUAUCGAGAGGAACACCGGUGGCGAAGGCGGCCAACUGGACGAGUACUGACGCUGAGACACGAAAGCGUGGGGAGCAAACAGG